GACGAACGCUGGCGGCGUGCUUAACACAUGCCAGUCGAACGAAGAGCGAUGGAAGCUUGCUUCUAUCAAUCUUAGUGGCGAACGGGUGAGUAACGCGUAAUCAACCUGCCCUUCAGAGGGGGACAACAGUUGGAAACGACUGCUAAUACCGCAUACGAUCUAAUCUCGGCAUCGAGGAUAGAUGAAAGGUGGCCUCUACAUGUAAGCUAUCACUGAAGGAGGGGAUUGCGUCUGAUUAGCUAGUUGGAGGGGUAACGGCCCACCAAGGCGAUGAUCAGUAGCCGGUCUGAGAGGAUGAACGGCCACAUGGGGACUGAGACACGGCCCAGACUCCUACGGGAGGCAGCAGUGGGGAAUCUUCCGCAAUGGACGAAAGUCUGACGGAGCAACGCCGCGUGAGUGAUGACGGCCUUCGGGUUGUAAAGCUCGGUUAAUCGGGACGAAAGGCCUUCUUGCGAAUAGUGAGAAGGAUUGACGGUACCGGAAUAGAAAGCCACUGCUAACUACGUG
Molecule: ribosomal RNA, 510 nt
Filed under: uncultured bacterium
Lineage: Bacteria
Description: partial 16S ribosomal RNA
Rfam family: Bacterial small subunit ribosomal RNA
Source: RNAcentral